AUUGAACGCUGGCGGCAGGCCUAACACAUGCAAGUCGAGCGAGCGGCGGACGGGUGAGUAAUGUAUGGGGACUGCCCGAUAGAGGGGGAUAACUACUGGAAACGGUGGUUAAUACCGCAUACUAUCGGAUAACCCAGAUGGGAUUAGCUAGUAGGUGGGGUAAAGGCUCACGUAGGCGACGAUCCCUAGCUGGUCUGAGAGGAUGAUCAGCCCCACUGGGCCGUAGACACGGCCCAGACUCCUACGGAGGCAGCAGUGGGGAAUAUUGCACGAUGGGCGCAAGCCUGAUUCAGCCAUGCCGCGUGUAUGAAGAAGGCCUUAGGGUUGUAAAGUAGUUUCAGCGGGGUGGCGUUACCCGCAGAAGAAGCACCGGCUAUCUCCGUGCCAGCAGCCGCGGUAAUUC
RNAcentral lists this ribosomal RNA (403 nucleotides) under uncultured bacterium. Its description in RNAcentral is "partial 16S ribosomal RNA". It matches the Rfam family "Bacterial small subunit ribosomal RNA", at positions 30 to 526 of the family's 1533-position model. The record is from RNAcentral.